This 124-nucleotide small RNA is filed under the name Marmota monax (woodchuck). The record is from RNAcentral. Lineage: Eukaryota; Metazoa; Chordata; Mammalia; Rodentia; Sciuridae.
GCUAGGCAUGGUGACGCAUGCCUGUAAUCCCAGUGGUUGGGAGGCUGAGACAGGAGGAUUGUAAGUUCAAAGUAGGUUUCAGCAAAAAUGAGGCACUAAGCAACUCAGUGAGACCCUGUCUCUA